This 253-nucleotide ribosomal RNA is filed under the name uncultured bacterium. RNAcentral describes it as "partial 16S ribosomal RNA". It matches the Rfam family "Bacterial small subunit ribosomal RNA", at positions 524 to 776 of the family's 1533-position model. The record is from RNAcentral.
UACGGAGGGGGCAAGCGUUGUUCGGAAUUACUGGGCGUAGAGGGCGCGUAGGCGGCCUUCUAAGUCGAACGUGAAAUCCCCGGGCUCAACCCGGGAACUGCGUCCGAUACUGGAAGGCUUGAAUCCGGGAGAGGGAUGCGGAAUUCCAGGUGUAGCGGUGAAAUGCGUAGAUAUCUGGAGGAACACCGGUGGCGAAGGCGGCAUCCUGGACCGGCAUUGACGCUGAGGCGCGAAAGCCAGGGGAGCAAACGGG